AGCGAACGCUGGCGGCAGGCUUAACACAUGCAAGUCGAGCGCCCGGGCAACCGGGAGCGGCAGACGGGAGAGUAACACGUGGGAACGUGCCCUUCAGUUCGGAACAACCCAGGGAAACUUGGGCUAAUACCGGAUAAGCCCUUACGGGGAAAGAUUUAUCGCUGAAGGAUCGGCCCGCGUCUGAUUAGCUAGUUGGUGGGGUAAUGGCCCACCAAGGCGACGAUCAGUAGCUGGUCUGAGAGGAUGAUCAGCCUCACUGGGACUGAGACACGGCCCAGACUCCUACGGGAGGCAGCAGUGGGAAUAUUGGACAAUGGGCGCAAGCCUGAUCCAGCCAUGCCGCGUGGGUGA
Molecule: ribosomal RNA, 351 nt
Filed under: uncultured bacterium
Lineage: Bacteria
Description: bacterial SSU rRNA
Rfam family: Bacterial small subunit ribosomal RNA
Source: RNAcentral